GACACCCACCCACCUACCUACACAAAUCACAGCACACACAUUCGUCGCACACUAUCCACACACUUCGUACAUACUUUAAAAAUGCAAAUCCACUUAAAUCAAUUUAAAAUCCAAAACUAAUCGAGAAACACUUGAGAAAUUUGAAGCAAAAACGCCAGAUUUUCGUGGCACUUCAGCACGAAACUUUAGAAGCCUAAUUCAAAAUGAGUGUUUUAGUAAAAAGCCAUAUUGGUAGAUGCAGACGAGUCUACUAAGCACAACUUCCGGUCCCUAUUCUAGUGAAAAGAAAGAGUCAGACAACGGGAUUUGUUUUCUUGCCGACAGAUUAGCAUAAUGAUCAUUCUGGACUUUUUCCACAAGAUACAUAAGGAGCUUAGUCGUUCUUCCUGUCAUUGUGAUCUUUUCCUGUCCUUAGAUUCUUACUAAUCAAACUUGUUGCUCUAAACACAAAGGUUGGAAACCUAGGUAUGCCCCCUGUGCUUAGCAUUUCAACGAGUCUCACUAUGAUUCCAAAAACCGUGUUUAUAAUUCGGUGAUUCGGGUGACACUUGUCGAAGGCAGUUGUUUGCUUUAUCGAAUGCUUGCUUUUAGCUUGAGAUGGCCAGCACGAUCUAGCAAAGCAAACAAGCUAUUUGAUACAUGUACAAAGUGUCAGACUGUACUCUGAUUUAGCUUAUGUCAAGGUUGAGACUCACCGUCAUUACAGAAUGAUGGUGAUGUCGUAUGAUGGUGUCUAAAGUUCGACGCUGCUGCCCUCAAGAAUUAAACGCGUAGUAAAGCAAGCUGUUUGAAAACCUGGGGGAAAAACUGAAAUUAGAYUUGCUGGUGAAGUGGUCUGCCAACMAGAAGACGAACUCAAGUAAAUAUUUCUCACAGGAUCCAAACAAGUUAAGGGAAUAUGCUUUAAAGAUGCGCACUUUCGAGGUACGGCUAAUUUUUAGUGCGACACACCGUUGAGUUCAGGUCACGACAGCUCAGGCUAUUGCAGUGAUAUCAUAAGCGUCGUCAGUUAAUGUCAAGGUAAAUCAGUGCAGUUAAUUCUAGGUCUUGACAUCGCACGCACGAUAGCAUCGCACCUUGUAUUGUGUUGCUAUGGAAAACGAUCACUGUGCUCUUGUCCGCUGUGAUCUGAACCACGAUAUGAAUUACUAGUCGAGGCAAAUUUUAUCAGAGUGAAAACUACGGUACGUUGAGGUUCCGUGCCGUGCCGUGAUCGUGGUGGCGCUGUGUAUAUUGUGUGGUUUUGCAAGCAGUARGGUAUCGCGUGGUGUGAUUGGUGCAAAGAAUGCCGUACAGCAAUAGCUUUACCGUAUCGUACUGUUCACCGUUAUGCGAAUUCUAAUUUAUUAAUAGUGUUUGGAAACUUUAUAUACAACUACGACUAUCAUCAUCGACAUCACCACCACCACCACCACCAUCAUCAUCAUCAUCAUCAUCUACUACAAAAACAACAUCAACGCCAACUACCAUAUUAUUAUACAUCAAAUUAAUUAAUAAUCGAUUUGAAUUAUAUCCAAUUACAUCGAAUCAUAACAAAGUUUAUCUUAUACGCGGUCACCGAAAAAACAACUAUUAUAUACCUUUCAAAUGAUCUACACAUGUUUUCUGCACUCAUUCAACAUAACUCUGGUUUGUGUUUAACCCUUGUGGGCCACCGUAUUAGAUCGUCACUGAUAUAUUUAUAAAUUCAGGAUUGCGUCAAGUCGAAUGAUGUCACGUGAUCGCACCAACCAUCGUUUUUUUUAGACUCUGUUUCAGUCAAGGUGUUCAACCCACAGGAAUUUCGUUUCAAACAUCGCAACAUACAACGAAUUUAACCUGAGAUGAGCUGGCGAUGGUUGAAUUUCUCAUGAACGAGGACUGCUGUUUUUUUUAAAGAGCUCAUAGAUUGUUAGUUCCCGGAUUAUUUUGAAGGAUAAUAAGAAGACAUGUUUUGCAAACACUUCUCCGUGUUCAGUCGGCCCAAUCGCCGCGUGCUUUAUAACUGCGCACAGCACGCGAGCACGUUCUCUAUUUCUUCAAUACAAACAUUUCUCAAGAAAAAAAUUUAAUAGACCAAAAAUGGUUUACAAUGGACGCGGUGACUUGCUCCGACGUUAAUUUUAAAAUGUUGCACUCUUGUGGCAGCUAGCUUUCUUACUUGUAAAAAACGUUUUUUCGAGUUCUUCGAGCGGUUGAACUAAUGGCGUAAAACGAAUCAGACUCGGACAGAAACUAGACAGAAAUAGAAGAAUUCUCCCAUUGCGUAUUGCAUGCACCACAAUGUUUAACAUUGGUGUUGUUAUGACGAGGUUAUUGCGUCGAUUAUUGUAAUAAAGUCCUUGAAAGCU
Long non-coding RNA from Actinia tenebrosa (Australian red waratah sea anemone), 2330 nucleotides. RefSeq lists it as uncharacterized. The record is from RefSeq and is a predicted model, not a curated record. Lineage: Eukaryota; Metazoa; Cnidaria; Anthozoa; Actiniaria; Actiniidae.